RNAcentral lists this ribosomal RNA (497 nucleotides) under uncultured bacterium. RNAcentral describes it as "partial 16S ribosomal RNA". It matches the Rfam family "Bacterial small subunit ribosomal RNA", at positions 28 to 507 of the family's 1533-position model. The record is from RNAcentral.
GAUGAACGCUGGCGGCGUGCCUAAUACAUGCAAGUCGAGCGAACAGACGAGGAGCUUGCUCCUCUGACGUUAGCGGCGGACGGGUGAGUAACACGUGUAUAACCUACCUAUAAGACUGGGAUAACUUCGGGAAACCGGAGCUAAUACCGGAUAAUCUCUUGAACCGCAUGGUUCAAUAGUGAAAGACGGUUUUGCUGUCACUUAUCGAUGGAUCCGCGCCGCAUUAGCUAGUUGGUAAGGUAACGGCUUACCAAGGCAACGAUGCGUAGCCGACCUGAGAGGGUGAUCGGCCACACUGGAACUGAGACACGGCCCAGACUCCUACGGGAGGCAGCAGUAGGGAAUCUUCCGCAAUGGGCGAAAGCCUGACGGAGCAACGCCGCGUGAGUGAUGAAGGUCUUCGGAUCGUAAAACUCUGUUAUUAGGGAAGAACAAAUGUGUAAGUAACUAUGCACGUCUUGACGGUACCUAAUCAGAAAGCCACGGCUAACUACGUG